Molecule: ribosomal RNA, 468 nt
Filed under: uncultured bacterium
Lineage: Bacteria
Description: partial 16S ribosomal RNA
Rfam family: Bacterial small subunit ribosomal RNA
Source: RNAcentral
GACGAACGCUGGCGGCGUGCUUAACACAUGCAAGUCGAACGGAAAGGCCCUGCUUUUGUGGGGUGCUCGAGUGGCGAACGGGUGAGUAACACGUGAGUAACCUGCCCUUGACUUUGGGAUAACUUCAGGAAACUGGGGCUAAUACCGGAUAGGAGCUCCUGCUGCAUGGUGGGGGUUGGAAAGUUUCGGCGGUUGGGGAUGGACUCGCGGCUUAUCAGCUUGUUGGUGGGGUAGUGGCUUACCAAGGCUUUGACGGGUGGCCGGCCUGAGAGGGUGACCGGCCACAUUGGGACUGAGAUACGGCCCAGACUCCUACGGGAGGCAGCAGUGGGGAAUAUUGCACAAUGGGCGGAAGCCUGAUGCAGCAACGCCGCGUGCGGGAUGACGGCCUUCGGGUUGUAAACCGCUUUCGCCUGUGACGAAGCGUGAGUGACGGUAAUGUGUAAAGAAGCACCGGCUAACUACGUG